AGUGCUACGCCGGGUGAACGGGCUACAUUGAUGUUGUAGAUGAUAAGAAAUUUUUCUUUGGCACUU
RNAcentral lists this transfer RNA (66 nucleotides) under Cryptochiton stelleri (gumboot chiton). Its description in RNAcentral is "tRNA-Ile". Lineage: Eukaryota; Metazoa; Mollusca; Polyplacophora; Chitonida; Mopaliidae. The record is from RNAcentral.